GAUGAACGCUGGCGGCGUGCCUAAUACAUGCAAGUCGAACGCUGAAGGCGGAGCUUGCUCUUCUGGAUGAGUUGCGAACGGGUGAGUAACGCGUAGGUAACCUGCCUGGUAGCGGGGGAUAACUAUUGGAAACGAUAGCUAAUACCGCAUGACAACAGCUAUUGCAUGAUAACGGUUUGAAAGGUGCAGCUGCUCCACUACCAGAUGGACCUGCGUUGGUUUAGCGUGUUGGUGCGGUAACGGCUCACCAAGGCGACGAUACGUAUUCGAACGGAGAUGGGGGGCAGCCGCCCUGGGAGGGUGACACGGCCCAUAGGCCCACGGGAGGCAGCAGGAGUGCAACGUCGGCCAUAGGCGGAAGACUGUCCGCGCAACGCGGCGUGCGGGAAGAAGGAUGUCGGAUCGGAAAGCUCGGUUUUCAGGGAAGAACCAGCGUUAGCGUGGAACGUUCACACUGUGACGGUAUCUGAUCAGAAAGGAACGGCUAACUACGUG
This 495-nucleotide ribosomal RNA is filed under the name uncultured bacterium. RNAcentral describes it as "partial 16S ribosomal RNA". It matches the Rfam family "Bacterial small subunit ribosomal RNA", at positions 28 to 507 of the family's 1533-position model. The record is from RNAcentral.